GAACUGGAUUACUCGAGAAUGAGAGAGGUCACUGGAAUUCCCUGUGUAGGAGUGAAAUCCGUAGAUAUAGGGAGGAACACCAAUGGCGUAGGCAGGUGACUGGCUCAUUUCUGACACUGAGGCACGAAAGCGUGGGGAGCGAACGGGAUUAGAUACCCCGGUAGUCCACGCCGUAAACGAUGGAUGCUAGCUGUUAGGAGUAUCGACCCUUCUAGUAGCGAAGCUAACGCGUUAAGCAUCCCGCCUGGGGAGUACGGUCGCAAGAUUAAAACUCAAAGGAAUUGACGGGGACCCGCACAAGUGGUGGAGCGUGUUCUUUAAUUCGAUGAUAAGCGAAGAACCUUACCAGGGCUUGACAUCCUUGGAAUUUCUCCGAAAGGAGAGAGUACUUUAUUGGACCAAGUGACAGGUGUUGCAUGGCCGUCGUCAGCUCGUGUCGUGAGAUGUUAGGUUAAGUCCUUCAACGAGCGCAACCCUUAUGUUUAGUUGGAUUUUUCUAAACAGACUGCCUCGGUAACGGGGAGGAAGGAGGGGAUGAUGUCAGGUCAUUAUUACCCUUACGUCCUGGGCUAGAAACGCGCUACAAUGGCCGGUACAAAGGGCAGCCAACCCGCGAGGGGGAGCAAAUCCCAUCAAAACCGGUCCCAGUUCGGAUUGCAGGCUGAAACUCGCCUGCAUGAAGCCGGAAUCACUAGUAAUCGUAGGUCAGCACACUACGGUGAAUACGUUCCCGGGUCUUGUACACACCGCCCGUCAAACCAUGGAAGUCACCAACACCCGAAGUUCUAACUUGUUUAGGCCUAAGGUGGGGGGGAUAACUGGGGUUAAGUCGUAACAAGGUAACC
Molecule: ribosomal RNA, 845 nt
Filed under: uncultured bacterium
Lineage: Bacteria
Description: bacterial SSU rRNA
Rfam family: Bacterial small subunit ribosomal RNA
Source: RNAcentral